This 426-nucleotide ribosomal RNA is filed under the name Mantidactylus sp. 66 MV-2020. RNAcentral describes it as "partial 16S ribosomal RNA". It matches the Rfam family "Bacterial large subunit ribosomal RNA", at positions 2005 to 2597 of the family's 2925-position model. Lineage: Eukaryota; Metazoa; Chordata; Amphibia; Anura; Mantellidae. The record is from RNAcentral.
CGAGGGUUCUACUGUCUCCUUUCUCUAAUCAGUGAAACUAAUCUCCCCGUGAAGAAGCGGGGAUACUACUAUAAGACGAGAAGACCCCAUGGAGCUUUAAACCCAACUACAACCCUACUUUCCAUGCCCACUCAACCAACAGGGCCCUGUACGCUUGGUUUUAGGUUGGGGUGACCACGGAGUAAAAUUAAACCUCCACGAUGAACGGGAAUUCCCUCUUAUCUAAGAGCCACACCUCUAAGAAUUAGCACACUAACAUAAUAUGAUCCGAUACUCGAUCAACGAACCAAGUUACCCUGGGGAUAACAGCGCAAUCCAUUUCAAGAGCCCCUAUCGACAAGUGGGUUUACGACCUCGAUGUUGGAUCAGGAUAUCCCAGUGGUGCAGCAGCUACUAAAGGUUCGUUUGUUCAACGAUUAAAAUCCU